GGGUUGUGAGGUUAAGCGACUAAGCGUACACGGUGGAUGCCCUGGCAGUCAGAGGCGAUGAAGGGCGUGCUAAUCUGCGAUAAGCGCCGGUAAGGUGAUAUGAACCGUUAUAACCGGCGAUACCCGAAUGGGGAAACCCAGUGUGACUCGUCACACUAUCAUUAACUGAAUCCAUAGGUUAAUGAGGCGAACCGGGGGAACUGAAACAUCUAAGUACCCCGAGGAAAAGAAAUCAACCGAGAUUCCCCCAGUAGCGGCGAGCGAACGGGGAGGAGCCCAGAGCCUGAAUCAGCAUGUGUGUUAGUGGAAGCGUCUGGAAAGGCGCGCGAUACAGGGUGACAGCCCCGUACACAAAAGCGCAUGUGCUGUGAGCUCGAUGAGUAGGGCGGGACACGUGGUAUCCUGUCUGAAUAUGGGGGGACCAUCCUCCAAGGCUAAAUACUCCUGACUGACCGAUAGUGAACCAGUACCGUGAGGGAAAGGCGAAAAGAACCCCGGCGAGGGGAGUGAAAAAGAACCUGAAACCGUGUACGUACAAGCAGUGGGAGCACCCUUCGGGGUGUGACUGCGUACCUUUUGUAUAAUGGGUCAGCGACUUAUAUUCUGUAGCAAGGUUAACCGAAUAGGGGAGCCGGAGGGAAACCGAGUCUUAACCGGGCGUUAAGUUGCAGGGUAUAGACCCGAAACCCGGUGAUCUAGCCAUGGGCAGGUUGAAGGUUGGGUAACACUAACUGGAGGACCGAACCGACUAAUGUUGAAAAAUUAGCGGAUGACCUGUGGCUGGGGGUGAAAGGCCAAUCAAACCGGGAGAUAGCUGGUUCUCCCCGAAAGCUAUUUAGGUAGCGCCUCGUGAAUUCAUCUCCGGGGGUAGAGCACUGUUUCGGCUAGGGGGCCAUCCCGGCUUACCAACCCGAUGCAAACUGCGAAUACCGGAGAAUGUUAUCACGGGAGACACACGGCGGGUGCUAACGUCCGUCGUGAAGAGGGAAACAACCCAGACCGCCAGCUAAGGUCCCAAAGUCAUGGUUAAGUGGGAAACGAUGUGGGAAGGCCCAGACAGCCAGGAUGUUGGCUUAGAAGCAGCCAUCAUUUAAAGAAAGCGUAAUAGCUCACUGGUCGAGUCGGCCUGCGCGGAAGAUGUAACGGGGCUAAACCAUGCACCGAAGCUGCGGCAGCGAC
Molecule: ribosomal RNA, 1179 nt
Filed under: Salmonella enterica subsp. enterica
Lineage: Bacteria; Pseudomonadati; Pseudomonadota; Gammaproteobacteria; Enterobacterales; Enterobacteriaceae
Description: bacterial LSU rRNA
Rfam family: Bacterial large subunit ribosomal RNA
Source: RNAcentral